This 497-nucleotide ribosomal RNA is filed under the name uncultured bacterium. RNAcentral describes it as "partial 16S ribosomal RNA". It matches the Rfam family "Bacterial small subunit ribosomal RNA", at positions 28 to 507 of the family's 1533-position model. The record is from RNAcentral.
GAUGAACGCUGGCGGCGUGCCUAAUACAUGCAAGUCGAGCGAACGGACGAGGAGCUUGCUUCUCUGACGUUAGCGGCGGACGGGUGAGUAACACGUGGAUAACCUACCUAUAAGACUGGGAUAACUUCGGGAAACCGUAGCUAAUACCGGAUAAUAUUUUGAACCGCAUGGUUCAAUAGUGAAAGACGGUCUUGCUGUCACUUAUAGAUGGAUCCGCGCUGCAUUAGCUAGUUGGUAAGGUAACGGCUUACCAAGGCAACGAUGCAUAGCCGACCUGAGAGGGUGAUCGGCCACACUGGAACUGAGACACGGUCCAGACUCCUACGGGAGGCAGCAGUAGGGAAUCUUCCGCAAUGGGCGAAAGCCUGACGGAGCAACGCCGCGUGAGUGAUGAAGGUCUUCGGAUCGUAAAACUCUGUUAUUAGGGAAGAACAUAUGUGUAAGUAACUGUGCACAUCUUGACGGUACCUAAUCAGAAAGCCACGGCUAACUACGUG